RNAcentral lists this transfer RNA (73 nucleotides) under Hyphomicrobiales bacterium. RNAcentral's name for it is "Rhizobiales bacterium (sediment metagenome) tRNA-Arg". It matches the Rfam family "tRNA". Rfam says of the family: Transfer RNA (tRNA) molecules are approximately 80 nucleotides in length. Lineage: Bacteria; Pseudomonadati; Pseudomonadota; Alphaproteobacteria; Hyphomicrobiales. The record is from RNAcentral.
CGCGACUAGCUCAUGGGUAGAGCAUUAGGCUGCGAACCUAAGGGUAGUGGGUUCGACUCCCACGUCACGACCA